Siniperca chuatsi (mandarin fish) is the source of this 1549-nucleotide long non-coding RNA. RefSeq lists it as uncharacterized. Lineage: Eukaryota; Metazoa; Chordata; Actinopteri; Centrarchiformes; Sinipercidae. The transcript has 3 exons. The record is from RefSeq and is a predicted model, not a curated record.
AGCACUAUAUAAAUGUAGCCAUUUACCAUUCAAGUUUGAAACUGCAGCCUGUUACAGGGAUGAAUCAGCACAACAUGGCUCCCAGUGACUUGGACUAAUCACUUAUUAACUUUCUCAAUAUCAUCAGUGCUAACAGGAAACUGGAAUAAAUUUCCACUGAAGAAGACCAUGGGACACUCUCAAAGCGCUGGUAAAAGCAAGUCCAACAGGACAUCAACCAGAAAUGCUGUUUGGAGUUGUGGCCAGAAGGUCAUCUGGUCCUUUCUUGGUUGGUGGAUGCCAGCUGUGACGGAUGCUGUCAAGCUUCAGAAGGAGGCCUUUUGGACCAGUGGACUCCAGAAUCAAUAGACAGUUAUUGGAGUCUAUUUCCAGGUUCUAUUGGACCCUCAAAAACAGAACACAUGAUGAGACCUGGACAUAAUCUCUGUGAGACACACCAAAUCUGAGAGGCUGGAUAUCCUUGGAUGGAAGCAACCUAAAAGCAUAAACCUCUGAUGAAGCUGAGGAUGUGUGAUGUUUUUAAGAUGUUAUCUGGCAGUGGAGCAGCCAACAUAAAGAAAUAUAAGUCCUUUUUUAGCCACGGGGAGCCCAGCGAGGUGGACAUGCAAGAGUCUGUUAUCAUUCUCUUCAUCUUCAUACUUGCUCCCUUCUCUUCAGUUUCCAUCUGUAACUUUUUUUUUUCAGUGCUCGGGACAGAAAGCCUCAGUAAGAGUCUGUAGAUGCAUCUUUGAGAAUGUUUGCACAGGAAUAAACUAAGUGAGAUGCCACUCCAAUUAUGAAAUUAAACAGCAAUAUCAAUCAAUGAUUGGUUUGAUUUUAAAGGAACGAGGAAAUAGUGUGAUUGGUGUCCUCUAACUCACAACCCUUCUCGUUAGUAACGCUGCUUUUCAAAAUGGUUAUCACUUUUUCCCCAUAACAUUCUUUCACAAACAUCUCUUUCGCAAAAAUCCCCCCAUGUGGGACUUCUCCCUUUUUCAUUUUAAUAAACAGAUACAUUUUGGAAGUGGUUUCCUCCCCACAGCCUGUCACUUGUUCCACCGCAUGCCAUCAUCAGAAACUCUGUACCAUGUUUGUGUCAUAUUUCAUUUGCCAUAAACAAAAGCUCCUAAACAGUGUUGUAGUGAUUCAAACACAAAAUCACAACUCUGCCAGCAGCAGCACUGACCAUAACGGGAGAACAGCCGUGAGUCUGUUAACAGCACUACAACAAGAUCCAAGGGAUGUUUUGGGGCUGUCCACCCAAGAACAACGACACAAUCAGUUGUUUCAGCAAGUGCCCCAAAACGACAUAUGUGUACGUUCAAGUGAUGAAGCCCUCUAGUAGCUGUAGUAAUUAUGACGGUAGCAAAGAAGGCAGUCAGGUGACAUUUUUAUAAAGCGACGAAGUCCACGUAGGAAGGAUGUCAGAGAACGCGGUUUGUUUCCUGCUUCCUGCCUCGAGUCAGUGUUGGUUUAUUUUAACCAUGACCACGAUCGUUUCCUAACCUCAACCAAGUGGUUAUUAUUGUAACCAUGACGACAAAGAUCCCCUAACCUCAUUUCAACGCAA